RNAcentral lists this ribosomal RNA (465 nucleotides) under uncultured bacterium. RNAcentral describes it as "partial 16S ribosomal RNA". It matches the Rfam family "Bacterial small subunit ribosomal RNA", at positions 338 to 795 of the family's 1533-position model. The record is from RNAcentral.
CCUACGGGGCGCAGCAGUAGGGAAUCUUCCACAAUGGGCGAAAGCCUGAUGGAGCAACGCCGCGUGGGUGAAGAAGGUCUUCGGAUCGUAAAACCCUGUUGUUAGAGAAGAAAGUGCGUGAGAGUAACUGUUCACGUUUCGACGGUAUCUAACCAGAAAGCCACGGCUAACUACGUACCAGCAGCCGCGGUAAUACGUAGGUGGCAAGCGUUAUCCGGAUUGAUUGGGCGUAAAGGGAACGCAGGCGGUCUUUUAAGUCUGAUGUGAAAGCCUUCGGCUUAACCGGAGUAGUGCAUUGGAAACUGGGAGACUUGAGUGCAGAAGAGGAGAGUGGAACUCCAUGUGUAGCGGUGAAAUGCGUAGAUAUAUGGAAGAACACCAGUGGCGAAAGCGGCUCUCUGGUCUGUAACUGACGCUGAGGUUCGAAAGCGUGGGUAGCAAACAGGAUUAGAUACCCUAGUAGUC